GAGCAUUUGAAUCUAUGGGCAGGAUGCAGCAGGGGAAACAGUGACCAGGUUCUGCAGAGAGCAGGAUAGAGUGCUGAUGACAGUGGGGAAGAGGCAGAGUUAGUGCCUCCCAUAGAAAAUGGCUUGGCAAGAGUGCAGGUGGCAGGCGAAGCAGAACCAUUUGUGUUGAAGGCAGCAUGAAGAGCAGUGGGCCAGCUAUCCAGGUCUGGGCAAAAUAGCAAGAAUGCAGGCAUAUGAGUUGAAGAAGGAAGAGGAAGAAGAUGAAUAUGCAUGGGCUAUCUCCGCUCUUCUCUCGGAAUCCUCUCACACUAAAGGAAGAGAUAAAUAAGGAGGGACAGUGACAAGUGUUCGGGCAGUGAUACGUGUUAGCAUCAUCAUUGAGUCUAGUGCCUAUGGACUUGUAACUCCACUGAAAAACAAAGUCAUAUUGAGUUUAUGGGUCUUAAUUCACCCAGCUUGAUAAUGGUAAAAGCUUUGGGGAUUGGAUUGAAUCCUUCCUUGUGACUUUAAGGAACACUCAAAAGAGAUUCCCCUCUAUCUUUCUCAUGCAUGCAAGAUUUGGGAUGCUCGACCCAACUACAGGUUAAGAAAUGCAGCAUCUUGACACCUCCAUACCCAAAGCCAAGAUUGCUGUUUCUUUCAGACAGGCCCCCAAAAAGCAUUGGACAAAAUUUAACUAAAUGCUUUAUAGACCUUCCCCUUUGACUAAGAAAAAAAAAAAAACAAAAAAAAAAAACCCCCCAAAAAAACAUUGGUGAUUGCUUCUAUUCCAUAGAUGGAAAACCAAGAAAGAGACUUAUACUUUAUUCCUCAUGGUAUAGCAUUAUAUCCUUAGUGGGUGAGGCCCUUGUUUACCCUGAGGUGGUAGGCUAUUCAUGGCUAACCAGUGUAUCACUGGUACAACUAAGAUGAUUAGAUAUUACAAGUGGAAGCCUGAAGGUAUCUUCCCUGAACUGAUACUCAACCCAUAAAUCACACCACUGCUCAUAUAGAGCAACUGCUCAUGAUAACAAGAUAACACCCAGAUCCUACUAGUUAAGAUGCCUGGCACUCAUGAUCUGGGGAAGAAUAUGAAGAGGGUGCUCCUACUGCAGAUGACUGAAACACAUACAGACUGUCUGUAAGUCAAUGAAACAGUGUGCUGCUUCUCCUCUGAUAGGCUGCUUCUUAAUUAAUCUACCCAUCAAUCAAGAGUAAUGUACCAAGUGAUGGGCCUCACUUCGGAACUCUGCCUUGGAGGCUCCAAAUACUUGUAUUGUGUGGAUUUAUGUCUGGAGACCUCAUUAUAUCAAACAAAACUCUAACUCCAGAAACCAGAAAUGUGUAUAAAGGGAGACCUUGAAAACC
RNAcentral lists this long non-coding RNA (1347 nucleotides) under Mus spretus (western wild mouse). Its description in RNAcentral is "lncRNA (ENSMSPG00010031642.1)". The record is from RNAcentral. Lineage: Eukaryota; Metazoa; Chordata; Mammalia; Rodentia; Muridae.